GAGAUGCCAGGCGCUGCAGGCACCCACAUGGCUGCAACUCUCACUGUUCCUCUGCUGAGGCCUGGGGUGGUGUGCUGUGGUCCUAAGCAAGUUCCUCAUGGUUGUGCCUCUCUCCGUUCCUCUGUUCUUUUAAAACUCUGUGACAAACACAACUGCAGCCAUCUUUCCCGUGUGAACAUGAAUGUGGUGAUCUUUUCCAGAAUCGUGGAAUGAAGUAAGUUCAAACACGAGAUACCA
Molecule: long non-coding RNA, 237 nt
Filed under: Fukomys damarensis (Damara mole-rat)
Lineage: Eukaryota; Metazoa; Chordata; Mammalia; Rodentia; Bathyergidae
Description: lncRNA (ENSFDAG00000030959.1)
Source: RNAcentral